GUAACAAGGCUCCGUAGGGUGAACCUGCGGAGGGAUCAUUACACAAAUAUGAAGGCGGGCUGGAACCUCUCGGGGUUACAGCCUUGCUGAAUUAUUCACCCUUGUCUUUUGCGUACUUCUUGUUUCCUUGGUGGGUUCGCCCACCACUAGGACAAACAUAAACCUUUUGUAAUUGCAAUCAGCGUCAGUAACAAAUUAAUAAUUACAACUUUCAACAACGGAUCUCUUGGUUCUGGCAUCGAUGAAGAACGCAGCGAAAUGCGAUAAGUAGUGUGAAUUGCAGAAUUCAGUGAAUCAUCGAAUCUUUGAACGCACAUUGCGCCCUUUGGUAUUCCAAAGGGCAUGCCUGUUCGAGCGUCAUUUGUACCCUCAAGCUUUGCUUGGUGUUGGGCGUCUUGUCUCUAGCUUUGCUGGAGACUCGCCUUAAAGUAAUUGGCAGCCGGCCUACUGGUUUCGGAGCGCAGCACAAGUCGCACUCUCUAUCAGCAAAGGUCUAGCAUCCAUUAAGCCUUUUUUUCAACUUUUGACCUCGGAUCAGGUAGGGAUACCCGCUGAACUUAUGCAUAUCAAUAAGGCGGAGGAAAA
Molecule: ribosomal RNA, 585 nt
Filed under: Alternaria alternata f. sp. lycopersici
Lineage: Eukaryota; Fungi; Ascomycota; Dothideomycetes; Pleosporales; Pleosporaceae
Description: eukaryotic LSU rRNA
Rfam family: 5.8S ribosomal RNA (bases 207-360)
Source: RNAcentral